This 4420-nucleotide long non-coding RNA is filed under the name Homo sapiens (human). RNAcentral's name for it is "HSALNT0282726". Lineage: Eukaryota; Metazoa; Chordata; Mammalia; Primates; Hominidae. The record is from RNAcentral.
UUAGCUUUGUUUCUAAUCCCAUGAUCAGAAAUAUGGAUGGUAAAGGCCAUUUUGAUGAGGUCUCCGAUGGAAAUGAGAAAUAAGGUAUUGGAAACUGGAAUAAAAGCCACCUUUGUUAUAUGCGUGCAAAGAUUUGGCAGAAUCGUGUUCAUGUCCUAGGACUUAGUGGAAGGCAGAAUUUAAGAGUCAUAAACUAGCAUAUAUAGCAGAAAAAAUAUCUAAGCAGCAAAAUGUUUGAGAUGCCACAUGACUACUUUUGGCUAUGUACAGCAAAAUGAGAGAAAAACGAUUUAAAGACAGAAUUUAUAAUUAAAAGAGAAGCAGAACAGAAAGAUUUGGAAAACUCUCAGCUUGACCAUGUAAAAAAUACAAAAGCAUGUUGGGGAGAGAAUACUAAGGGUGUGACCAAGAGACUGCUAAAGAGACUAAUAUGGGUAGAAGGAAGCCAGAUUCUAUUCAGAGGCCUUUGAGGCAAGCUAGGAUCUUGAGGGCAAGGUUUCUAGAGAGGUACCCCUAGGACUUGAGCAUUUGCUGCCCUGUGCCACCUUGGGACUCUGCUCCUUCAAUUCUGGAGCAGUACCCCUUGGCUGCCCCUGCUGUGGCUCAAGCAGGCCCAAGUGCAGCUCGACUUGCUGCUCCAGAAAGUAUAACCUGUAAACCUUGAUGGUGUCCACAUGGUGCUAAUUCUGUAGGCACACAGAAUGCACGAGUUGUGGAACCAUGGCUUCCUUUGUCUAGAUUUCAAAGAAUUUCAUGGACAGCCUGGGGAACCAAGCAGAGACUUGUCAUAGGGAUGGAGCCACUGCAGAGGGCUCCCACUAAGGCAACACUUAGUGGAACUGUGGGAGUGGGGCUGUCCCAAGACCACAGAACUACAGGACCACGAAUGUGCAACUCCAGCCUGCGAAGGCUGGAGGCAUGAGACUUCAACCCAUGAGAGCUGCUGGGUGGACUGAGCCCAGCAAAGCCAUAGGGGCAGGGCUGCUCAAGACCUUGGGGGCCCAGCCCAGCUCUAGUGUGCCCAAGAUGCAGGACGCAGAGUCAAAGAUCAUUCUCCAGCUUUAAGACUUAAUGUUGGCUGGGCACGGUAAUCCCAGCAGUUCGAGAGGCUGAGGUGGGUGGAUCGCUUGAGCCCAGGAGUUCAAGACCAGCCUGGGCAACAUGGCCAAAUCCCAUCUCUACAAAAACUCGGGGAGCUGAGGUGAGAGGAUCGCUUGAGCCCAGGAGGUUGAAGCUGCAGUGAGCUGUGACACUGUGAUCCCAUCACUGUACUCCAGCCUGGGUGACAGAGAGGGAGACCUUAACUCAAAAAAAAAAAAAAAAAAAAAAAAAAGAAGAAGACAAUGUUUUUUUUUUUUCUGUUGGAUUUUGGACUUACUUGGGACCAGUUACCCCUUUCUUCUUGCUUAUUUCUCCCUUUUGGAAUGGGAAUGUCUAUCCUAUGCCUGUCCCACCAUUGUAUUUUGGAAGAAAGUAAUUUGCUAUUUUCAUAGGCUAACAUCUGGAGAGAAAUUUGCCUCAGGAUGAAUUGCACCUGGAGUCUCUCCUGUCUGAUUCAAAUGGGACUCUGGACUUUGGAAUUUUGAGUUGGUGCUGGAACGAGUCAAGACUUUGGGGCUAUUGGGAUGGAAUUAAUCUAUUUUAGACAUGAGAAGGACAUGGAUUUUGGGAGUCAAGGAAGAAUGCUACGGCUUGAAUGUGUCCUCCGAAGUUCAUGUGUUGGAAACCUAAUCCCCAAUGCAGCAGUACUGAGAAGUGAGACCUUUAAGAAGUGAUGAGGUAAUGAGGACUCUGUCCUCAUAAACAGAUUAAUCCUGUUUUCAUGGGAGUGGGUUUCUAUCAUAAGAAGGGUUCCUGAUAAAUAGAUGAGUUUGGCUCCCUUUUCUUCUCUUCUCUUCUCUUCUCUUCUCUUCUUUCUCUUCCCUUCCCUUCUCUUCUCUCUCUUUCUCUCUCUCAUGCAAAAGCGUGUUCUCUUGCCUUUCUGCCCUUCACUAUGGGAUGACGCAGGAAGGAGGCCCUUGCUAGAUGCAUGCCCCUCAACCUUGGACUUCCUAGCCUCCAGAACUGUAAGAAAGAAAUCUCUGCUUGUUAAAAAUUACCCAGUCUCAAGUAUUCUGUUAGAGCAGCACAAAACAGACUAAGACAUGUUUCUAGAAGUGAGCUCAAGUGUGUCAUAAAAAACUGAAAAGAUUUCAUUUGAAAGUUGUACACAAAUUCAAUAUUUAAUAACUCCCCUAAAAUUCUGCAUUUUAAUUUUCUUCCCAUAAUUGUAUAAUAUGAGGAAAAUGUAAGAAAUUCCUUUUCACUCAACUCUAGUACCCCUAACCCUCUUCAGUUUACUCCAGUGUGCCAUAAAAUAUUUCACUUUCUCUGUGUCCCAGGUUGUGAAUGCCCUAACACAUUUACAUCUAGUCACAUUACAUAGAAACACUAGCACAUACAGACAGAUAUGUGCACACGGGGACAUGUGUACAUGGAAAUUCAAAUUUGCACUCACAUUCAGACCAGCCGAUAAGCACAAUGAGACACUCAUAUACAGACACACAAACAUUCCCCGUUAACUGCACAGAAGCAGCUAGGCAUGCAUGUAGAUACCCACACACCAGCAAAUAGCUCAAAGAUACACACGCAUACAAUAUACAGAUAUAACUAUAUAACUGCCUUUCUUUCUUUUUUUUUUUUUGAGAUGGAGUCUCGCUCUGUCACCCAGGCUGGAGUGCAGUGGCGCAAUCUCGGCUCACUACAAACUCUGCCUCCUGGGUCCACGCCAUUCUCCUGCCUCAGCCUCCCCAGUAGCUGGGACUACAGGCACCUGCCAUCACGCCCGGCUAAUUUUUGUUGUGUUUUUUAGUAGAGACAGGGUUUCACCAUGUUAGCCAGGAUGGUCUCGAUCUCCUGACCUGAUGUACAAAAUGAGACGGGUAAGGGGCGCGGGGCAGGGGUGAAGGGCUGUAGGGGUGCCCCAACAAGAAAUUUCUAACUUUUUGUUAAUAAUUAAUCCCCUUCCCACUGUGGUUUCUGUUGUCUUUUUUUUUUUUUUUUGAGACGGAGUCUCGCUCUUGUUGCUCAGGCUGGAUUGCAAUGGUGCGACCUUGGCUCACUGCAUCCUCUGCCUCCUGGGUUCAAGAAAUUCUCCUACCUCAGCCUCCCGAGUAGCUGGGAUUACAGGCACCCGCCACCAUGCCUGGCUAAUUUUUGUAUUUUUAGUAGAGACGGGAUUUCUCCAUGUUGGCCAGGCUGAUCUCGAACUCCUGGCCUCAGGUGAUUCACCCGCCUCGGCCUCCCAAAGUGCUAGGAUUACAGGCAUGAGCCACUGCGACCGGCCGUCAUUUUUUUAAUUAAAUUUUUUUUUGGUUGAGGCACGAGAAUCGCUUGAACCCGGGAGGCAGAGGUUGCAGUGAGGUAAGAUGGUGCCGCUGCACUCCAGCCUGGGCGACAAGAGCAAGGCUGUGUCUCAAAAAAUUUUUUUGUUUCACUUUUUACCUCUUGUGUAUAUGUAGAGAGUUUACAGGGAAAUGUGUACUUUAUGGAAUAAAUUUUAAGAACUAUAUAUAUAUAUGUGUGUGUGCGUGUGUGUAUGUGUGUGUGUGUAUAUAUAUAUAUAUAUAAUAUACACUUUGUUUUGUUUUUUUUUUGAGACAGGGUCUCGCUCUGUCGCCCAGGCUGGAGUGCGAUGGCGAGAUCUUGGUUCUCUGCAGCCUUGAACUCCGGGCUCAAGGGAUCCUCUCACCUCAGCCUCCCAAGUCGCUGGGACUACAGGCAUGUGCCACCAUGCCCGGCUAAUUUUUCUAUUUUUUGUAGAGACAGGUUCUGGGUUUUUUUUUUUUUUUUGAGACAUGGUCUCACUCUGUCACCCAGGCUGGAUUAUAGUGCCAUGAUCAUGGCUCACUGCAGCCUCGAACUCCUGGGCUCCAGUGAUCCUCCCACCUCAGCCUCCUGAGUAGCUGGGACUAUAGGUGCACACCACUACACCUGGCUAAUUUUUAUAUUUUUUGUAGAGGUGGGGUUUCGCCAUGUUGCUCAGGCUGGUCUCAAACUCCUGGGCUCAAGCAAUCCGCCCACCUUGACCUCCCAAAGUGCUAGGAUUACAGGUGUGAGUCACCACACCUGGCCUAAAACAUAUUUUAUUUAAGAUAAAGUAAUGGAUCUUUAAUCUUAUACAGCUAAAUUGCUGAUUAUAUAUUUGUUGAGCUGAUUUAAGGUUAAAAAAUUGUAUUUAACAAAAAUUAGCCCGGCAUGGAGGCGGAGGUUGCAGUGAGCUGAGACCGGGCCACUGCACUCCAGCCUGGGCGACAGAGUGAGACCCUGUGUCACACACAAAAAUUGUAUUGAGAGUUUUAUUUUUAUUUUAUUUUAUUUUAUUUUUUAUUUUUUGAGACGGAGUCUUGCUCUGUUGCCCAGGCUGGAGUGCAGUUGCGCG